RNAcentral lists this ribosomal RNA (593 nucleotides) under Globigerinoides ruber albus. Its description in RNAcentral is "partial small subunit ribosomal RNA". It matches the Rfam family "Eukaryotic small subunit ribosomal RNA", at positions 1298 to 1605 of the family's 1831-position model. The record is from RNAcentral. Lineage: Eukaryota; Foraminifera; Rotaliida; Globigerinidae.
UUCGUGGAGUGAUCUGUCUGCUUAAUUGCGUUUCAAAAUUUAACUUGAGGACCGGGUUUUGGUUUGGCUAGUGGUUCUACGAUGACUGUGAACUGUCAUGUCUUCGGAUGUGCGACUAUUGGUCUAGGAUCACAUGACUUGCCCCUGGGACUCUUUUGAACGCAACGGACGUGAUUGCAACCCCUUGUUGAGAUUAGAGAUAGUCUCGAUAUUCACUGGACAAACUGGAUGCUUUAUGCAGUCUUGUUGAAUGGUGGAUAAACUCGGGGGACUGCUGACUAUAACCAUUUCUCAAAACAGAGGAAGGUUGCGGCAAUAACAGGUCUGUGAUGCCCUCAGAUGUCCCGGGCUGCACACGUGCUACAAUGAGUGGCGCAAUGUGCUAAUGUUUAAGGGAUAAGAGUGUGGUCAGUAGAACGUCGGGAUUUCCCCUGACGUCUCCCCCGCACGAUUAUCAGCCUUCCCUUAACAGGGCGGGCAACCUUUUCAAAAUACUGGUUUGAUGUUAAAGUAUUGAGUCGUUUUUUUUGGAUGGUGGUUUGUUAACCAAUACCAUCCGGCAACUGCUCGCGAGUUUGUGGUUCUGGCGACUC